Molecule: long non-coding RNA, 687 nt
Organism: Vespula vulgaris
Lineage: Eukaryota; Metazoa; Arthropoda; Insecta; Hymenoptera; Vespidae
Exons: 3
Source: RefSeq, a predicted model, not a curated record
GAUGAAUAUCUCUUUAUACCACAGAGUAUAGAAAUAGACAGUUCUACCAUAAAUUUCUAUCAUAACAGCAAAUGCAAAUUUGAUUUCAAAAUUGCCGAAUGAAAUAGAAGGAGGAGGAGAUCUUGGAGAAUACGAGAGGUUUGGUACAAUACAAAACGCAAAAGGCAGGGAGAAAUUAAAGAAAAAUCGCAUACCACAAAAAUAUAUGGAAAAAUGAAUAUGUACUUAUGAAUAUUUGGCUCCAUCGAAUUUAAUAUCAUCGGUUGUUUAUCAACGAUAGCAAGUUUGAAGCAAGCAGUUCAAAUAAUUUACAACUUUGAGACUAAACGUUUUGAUUGCUUAUACAUCGGGAAUAGAUAUAAAAAUGUAUUCGCUAGAGAAGCCAUUGUUCUAACGUAUUGAGCACAUAUAAAAAGAUGUACGAGAAAUACAAGCUUUACCUAAAUUUUUACGUUAUGAGCUUUACGUAAAAAAGUGGGCACAUGAAUUCAUUUUCUUAAAAUACUUCCAAGAUGAAUGGUUCGAUAAAAAUCAAAAUGGAUAAGAAUUGAUUUGGAAAUGUGUUGAAAUAAUCCUGCUACAAAAGCCAGGUAAAAACCCCAGAUCACCAUCAUCAUAUAGGCCAAUAACUCUUCUGCUAUCUGCAAAUUAAUGAAAAAAACAAUAAAUAAAAGGCCAAAAAAAGAA